UCAAUAUCCACACCAUUAAAUUAAGAGCUGCUUCUUAAAAUCUAAUUAUGAUUUUAGAAUCAAACGUCAAAUUUUUAUUUUAAUUUAAAUUCAAUGUUUAAAUUUAAAUUUAACUUUAAAUUUUAAUUUUCAAAUUUAUUUUUAAAUUUUUAAAUUUUAAACUUUAAAUUUUAAAAAAUAGAUUUCAAACUUUAAAUAUUAAAUUUUAAUUUUAAAUAUCAAAUCUAAAAUUUUAAAUUUCAAAUUUCAAAUUUUAGAUUAAAUUUAAAUUUUAACAUUUUAGAUUUUAAAAUUUAAAUUUUAAAAUUUAAAAAUUUUAAAAUUUAAAUUACAAGUUUUAAUCUUCAAAUUAUAAAUUUCAAAUUUUUAAAAUUUAAAAUAAAUAUUUUUAAAUUUUAAAUUUAAAUAUUAAAAUUUUAAAUAUUAAAAUUUUAAAUUUUAUAUUUUAAAUUUAAUAAUUAUGUUAUAUUUUAAAUUUCAUAAUUAUUUUAAAUUUAAAUUUUCAAUUUUUAAUUUUUAAAUUUCAAAUUUUAAAUUUUAAAUUUUAAAUUUAAAUUUAUAUUUUUAAAUAUUAAAAUUUUAUAUUUUUAAUUUCAUAAUUAUNAAAUUAAAUUUAUAUUUAUAUUUUUAAAAUUUUAAAUUUUAAAUUUUAAAUUUUUUAAAUUAAAAUAUCUAAUUUUAAAUUUUGUAUAAUUUUAAAAUUUUAAAAUUUUAAUUUUAAUUCAAAUUUAAAUUUAGAUUUUAAAUUAUUUUAAAAUAAAAUUUAAUAAAAAUAUUAAUUUAUACAAACAUCAAAAAAAUUUUGCCAAAUAGAUUUUCAAAAUCACUUCAAAAAAAUCGCUUUUGUCUAAACUCAGCAAAACGCUCUACAGCAUUUAGCCAAAAUAACUUCUCCAAACUAUGGGCCUCUUUGGCCUAACUUCUGGAGAAGUGAUUUAUGUAAAAGUGAUUUUGGUUUGGAGAAAGAUUUGGAGAAUUGAUUUUGGUGAAAAGCUGUAGAGCGUUUGGUUGAAUUUAGAAAAAAAUGAUUGUUCUGAACUGAUUUUCUAAAGCUGUUUGGCAAAAAAUUUUUGAUGUUUGCAUAUAUUAAUAUUUUUACUAAAUUUUAUUUUAAAAUAAUUUAAAAUUUCAAUUUAAAUUAAAAUUUUAAAUUUAAUUAAAAGUAUAAUUUUUAAGUUUCAAACUUGUACAAAAAUAAAUUUGAAAUUUCAAAAUUUUAAAUUUAAAAUCUAAAUUUUAAAAUCUAAAUUUAAAUUUUCAAAUUUAAAAUUUAAAAUAUAAAAUUUAAAAUUUAAAAUAUAAAAUUUAAAAUUUAAAAUUUAAAAUUUAAAAUUUAAAAUUUAAAAUUUAAAAUUUAAAAUUUAAAAUUUAAAAUUUAAAAUUUAAAAUUUAAAAUUUAAAAUUUUUAAAUUUAAAAUUUAAAAUUUAAAAUUUAAAAUUUAAAAUUUAAAAUUUAAAAUUUAAAAUUUAAAAUUUUGAAAUUUAAAAUUUAAAUUUUAAAAUUUCAAAUUUUGAGAUUUGAAACUUAAAUUUUAAAUUUUAAAUGUAAAUUUUAAAUUUUAAAUUUGAAAAGUUGAGAUUUAAAAAUUCAAAUAUGAAUUUAAAAUUUCAAAAUUUAAAUUUAAUGUUAAAUUUAUACUUUGAAUCUAAAAUAAAAAUAAAAGUUAGAAGUUCGAGUUCAAAAUCAGAAUCAGUUUUGGAGAAGCAGCUUUUUUUUGCUUCUGAUUCUGGAGCCUUCAAAAUCAGUUUUCUGAUUCUAAAAAGCAGAAUCAGAUUUUCAGAAUGUUAUUCUCAAACACUCUACUGAGCUCAAAAGUAAUUUUGGGCUUAGAAUCACUUUUGAAUAGCUAGGCCAAACACCCCCUAAAAUUACUUUUUCAGAAAUCACUUUUUUAGAAGCUAGGCCAAACGGGCCCACUAUUCACUUCAACCUGAAUCCGCCAAACCGAAUCGGACUCGUUUACAAAUUUAAAAUUAAAAUUUUUUGAAUAAAUUAAUUUAACUAAUUUUUUUGAUAAUUAAGUAUAGUACUUAAGUAUCCACAUGUUCCGGUGGGUCGAUUUGUAAGAGAAGACGAAGAAGGAAGCAACAACGAUGAUAAAAAAAAAAAAAAAACAGUAAACGCAUAAUAAAAAGUAUUAUAAAAAAAUAAAAAAUAAAAAAUAAAAGAUGAAUACAAAUCAAAAGUGUCAUCAGUUACAAGUAUA
This 2207-nucleotide long non-coding RNA is filed under the name Ananas comosus (pineapple). Its description in RNAcentral is "long non-coding RNA (ACOM_LNC024342)". Lineage: Eukaryota; Viridiplantae; Streptophyta; Magnoliopsida; Poales; Bromeliaceae. The record is from RNAcentral.